Molecule: long non-coding RNA, 2609 nt
Filed under: Macaca mulatta (Rhesus monkey)
Lineage: Eukaryota; Metazoa; Chordata; Mammalia; Primates; Cercopithecidae
Description: lncRNA (ENSMMUG00000049543.1)
Source: RNAcentral
GAGAAAGAAUUGUGCCAUGAAAAAUGGAAAACUCCCGAGAAGCUGUUCCAGCGUCAGGAGAGCAGCAGACAAGCUGGACUGGGGAAGAUUCUUCCUGGAAGUUUCGGAGAUGUCACUCUCAUUUCCUAGCAUCUGACCCCCAAAUCCUCUCAAAGCCCAAAUCAAGAACCACAGACUCUAGUCAUCUUUCCCCCAGAGACUUCCUAACUGGGGGACCGGAAACCCCAAUUACAAAGCCUGCCCUGGCAAGACCUGCAGAGUGUGCGACACGUACCAGCACCCAAGAAAUGUCUACCGAGGAAUUAAUGAAUGAGGUAAGUUGAAUGAGUGAAGCAAAGGUUUUUCAGGAAAUCCCGCGCCUUACCGCAAACCAGUAAGCCUAAUACUGGGUUUCAGGCUACUGAAAAUGACAUUUGAGAGCAAUAGACCUUUUGGGAGCAAUUUGCCUUUUAAAAAAUUAAAGUCCUUUAAAUAACAUUACCUGGUGAGGAUGACCAGGAAAAACAUAGGGCAUAGGGCGGCCUCCCCACAGGCAUUUUUCUUCUUUUCUCUUUCCUAGCAGGGUCCCAUACUUCCCAGCCAUGCUGUUGGCAGGGAUUCACAUAGUCACAAUUCUCUGGGUAGACCUUGGGAGGUUUAAGCCAACCAGUGACCCCCAUCAUCCUAGCCCCAGAGAUUGGCUUAGGGAUAGUGACCCAAAGCAGGCCAAUGCAAGGUGACUUUGCCAGGGGCUUCUGGGAAAGAAGUUUCUUUUCUCUGAGGAAACGUGAAUGAGAACAUCCAUAACGCAGGUGGUGUCUGGCAGCCAUCUUGUGAUCAUCUGGCAAGACAGCCCAAGAAUAAAGCCGCCACCAUGGUAGACUAAGAAGACACAGGGAGACACUGGGUCUUCAUUGACUCGACCAGCUGCACAUGAGGCCUUACCUGAAGCCCACGUGACCUCUGCACUUCUCACUUACAUGACAGAAUAAAGCUCUUUUUUGUUUAGACCAAAUAAACACAUAAUGCAAUUACAUAAUCCCUUGAUUCCUUUUUAUGACUGAGCUCAGAGACUGUAUUUUGUCAUUUUAAAUCACCUUUAUCUUACAGUUUAUUUAACUGAAACAAAUAAACAAACCAAAACACGCCAGUUUUUCACUCCUCUGUCAAAGCCUUUCCAAGAUUCCUAAGCUUGUGAUGUCCUGGGUGAAUGAAGAAGUAAGAGAGUUUUCAACAAAAUAGAAGCUUAUUUCUCUCUCAUAUAAAAGAAGGCUGGAGUCUGGCUGGUGUGGGAGCUACAGCGUCAUCAAAGUUCUAUCUUUUCGUCCUGCCAUCCUUAGUAUACGGUUUUCAUCUUCAAGAUCAUGUCAUAAGCUAUGAGGAUGCAAAGGUAUAAGAAUGACAUAUGAACUUUGAGGACUCGGUGUGGGGGAAGGUGAGAGGGGGUGAGGGAUAAGAGACUACAUAUCAGGUACAGUGUACACUGCUCGGUUGACAGGUGCACUAAAAUCUCAGAAAUCACCACUAAAGAACCUAUCCAUGUAAUCAAAAACCACCUAUACCCAAAAACUAUUGAAAUAAAACUAAAAAUUAAUUAAAAAAAAAAAACAAAAAAAAAACCAGAUAACUUCAUGGUCCAAUGUGGCAGCUAGAGCUCCAAUCAUCACGUUAAUCUCCUUGUUCCAGAAAGGCAUGGGAGGAAAGGAGAAGGAGAAAAAGGAGUGUGUCAGUAGUCUAUACCUCUUUAGGAGUCCACAGAAGACUACCCAACAACUUCUGCUUAUGUCUCACUGGCCUUCAGGCUGCAAAUGUGGCUUCCAAGUGUAGUCUUUCAGCUGAGCAUACUGCCACCCAGAUUAAAAUCUGGGUUAUGUGACUAAGGAAAAAGAGGAGACUGGAUACUGGAUAGGCAACUAGCAGCCUCUGCCCCACCCUACUUAACAAACUGGUCCAGCUUCUGUGUUCAGAUCUGAUGCUUGGUGCCUGUGUCUCCAAGGAGACCCCAUGAUUCAAGCUACAAUUACUCUCUCCACAGGCCCUUAACAAGGAAAGCCGGAUUUUUUCCCUCCUGAGGAUCCUUUGACCAGCAUCUUCGGAUUUUUUUCAGUUAGAAGUAUUCACUAAGAGCCUGUUGUUUUGUUUUGUUUGUUUGUUUUUGUUUUUAUGUUUUUUUAAUGACCACAUCAGUCUUUCAUUAGCAUCUUUGCUUUGAUUUAUCUUAUUGCAUAGUUGAAUUUCUUCUCUGCCAUAUUCCAGCCAGACCCCAUUCAUACUCACCCAUCUUUGUUCACAAGUCUUUCCCUAAAACUAUGUUUUGUGCAACAUGGGUCCACUCUUCCAUAGUUAGUUUCUCACUUCCCUCUGGCAUUAACUUUCUCAAUCUGGUGGAUAAGGCACUUGUGGCCCAGGGUAACAAGAACUGUGGUUGGUUGGCAACAGCAGCUGAGUGGGGCUGGUCUUCUCUGAAUCAUGAAGGACAGGGAAUUAUUUUGCCUGGAGACAGGUGACUGGGUGAGGCUAGGGUGAUGAUUUCUUUUUCAGCUCUCUCAAGGCCUUCUGGCCCCUUAUUGUACAUUUCAGGCCCCAUAGAGAGUGCUGCAAGCCUCUAAUAGUAAUUCACAGGCACAAAC